This 519-nucleotide long non-coding RNA is filed under the name Nicotiana tabacum (common tobacco). Its description in RNAcentral is "long non-coding RNA (NTAB_LNC010205)". Lineage: Eukaryota; Viridiplantae; Streptophyta; Magnoliopsida; Solanales; Solanaceae. The record is from RNAcentral.
GACGCCUGCAGGUCUACCUUGGGUCUCCGAGUGGACUGAAGGAAGCCCUCCAACUACUGUCCGAAAGCUGCUCCUGGAUUUGCAUACAGUGUAGAGUGUAGUAUCAGCACAACCGACCCCAUGUGCUGGUAAGUCUCUUGGUUAACUAUUUCAAUUUUAUAAUUCCUCUUUCUUAUGUCAGAUUGGUGUGAAUAAUUACCCGGAUCAUAUAAAAAGGAAAAAAUUUAGGAAAGUCUUCAACAAUUCAUUUUUCCUUUGAGAUUAAUAAUUUUCUAUAUGAAGUCUUCUAUUACUGAUAUUAAUGGUUUAAUUUACUAAUGUUGAAGAUUUUAUUAGCUUUGAUAGCUGGCUUACUACGUUCUAAUAUUUUUUUUACAGAAUGCAGAGCAAUUUCCUUAAAACCCCUUCGUGGAUAAAGUAUGAAGAUUGCGUGUUUUUCUUGCUCUAUUAUCUUUGGUGUGUUUCGAACAAAAUUUUAUUUAAUUUUUAUUUGUAAAUUGAUUUAUGUGAAAUACAAAA